AUUGAACGCUGGCGGUAGGCCUAACACAUGCAAGUCGAACGGCAGCACAGUAAGAGCUUGCUCUUACGGGUGGCGAGUGGCGGACGGGUGAGGAAUACAUCGGAAUCUACUUUUUCGUGGGGGAUAACGUAGGGAAACUUACGCUAAUACCGCAUACGACCUACGGGUGAAAGCAGGGGAUCUUCGGACCUUGCGCGAUUGAAUGAGCCGAUGUCGGAUUAGUUAGUUGGCGGGGUAAAGGCCCACCAAGGCGACGAUCCGUAGCUGGUCUGAGAGGAUGAUCAGCCACACUGGAACUGAGACACGGUCCAGACUCCUACGGGAGGCAGCAGUGGGGAAUAUUGGACAAUGGGCGCAAGCCUGAUCCAGCCAUACCGCGUGGGUGAAGAAGGCCUUCGGGUUGUAAAGCCCUUUUGUUGGGAAAGAAAAGCAGCAGGUUAAUACCCCGCUGUUCUGACGGUACCCAAGGAAUAAGCACCGGCUAACUUCGUG
This 492-nucleotide ribosomal RNA is filed under the name uncultured bacterium. Its description in RNAcentral is "partial 16S ribosomal RNA". It matches the Rfam family "Bacterial small subunit ribosomal RNA", at positions 30 to 507 of the family's 1533-position model. The record is from RNAcentral.